RNAcentral lists this ribosomal RNA (253 nucleotides) under uncultured bacterium. Its description in RNAcentral is "partial 16S ribosomal RNA". It matches the Rfam family "Bacterial small subunit ribosomal RNA", at positions 524 to 776 of the family's 1533-position model. The record is from RNAcentral.
UACAGAGGAGCCAAGCGUUGUCCGGAUUGACUGGGCGUAAAGCGCACGCAGGCGGAUGCGCGCGUGGGGUGUGAAAUCUGGCCGCUUAACGGCCAGGCGCCAUCCCAUACGGCGUGUCUGGAGGGCUGCAGAGGUCGAUGGAAUUGCCGGUGUAGUGGUGAAAUGCGCAGAUAUCGGGAAGAACACCCGUGGCGAAGGCGGCUCUCUGGGACGGUACUGACGCUGAGACGCGAAAGCGUGGGGAGCGAACAGG